Molecule: ribosomal RNA, 530 nt
Filed under: uncultured bacterium
Lineage: Bacteria
Description: bacterial SSU rRNA
Rfam family: Bacterial small subunit ribosomal RNA
Source: RNAcentral
AAUAGAUACCCUGGUAGUCCACGCCGUAAACGAUGAGUGCUAAGUGUUAGAGGGUUUCCGCCCUUUAGUGCUGCAGCAAACGCAUUAAGCACUCCGCCUGGGGAGUACGGCCGCAAGGCUGAAACUCAAAGGAAUUGACGGGGGCCCGCACAAGCGGUGGAGCAUGUGGUUUAAUUCGAAGCAACGCGAAGAACCUUACCAGGUCUUGACAUCCUCUGCCACUCCUAGAGAUAGGACGUUCCCCUUCGGGGGACAGAGUGACAGGUGGUGCAUGGUUGUCGUCAGCUCGUGUCGUGAGAUGUUGGGUUAAGUCCCGCAACGAGCGCAACCCUUGAUCUUAGUUGCCAGCAUUCAGUUGGGCACUCUAAGGUGACUGCCGGUGACAAACCGGAGGAAGGUGGGGAUGACGUCAAAUCAUCAUGCCCCUUAUGACCUGGGCUACACACGUGCUACAAUGGAUGGUACAAAGGGUCGCAAAACCGCGAGGUCGAGCCAAUCCCACAAAACCCAUUCUCAGUUCGGAUUGCAGG